Long non-coding RNA from Pyrus x bretschneideri (Chinese white pear), 408 nucleotides. RefSeq lists it as uncharacterized. The record is from RefSeq and is a predicted model, not a curated record. The transcript is spliced from 2 exons. Lineage: Eukaryota; Viridiplantae; Streptophyta; Magnoliopsida; Rosales; Rosaceae.
UAACAUAUUUCUAAUAAAAUAGUAUUAUACUUUUGUCUCCAUUGCAAAGUCUUGGAUAAGAUGAAGGGAUUCUCCAUCUAAAACCAGCUCAUAUGAACUGGGUGUAAUGGGAGGCCCUAUCACAGCGACACAUGGCGGAGAAAGACAAGUGGCCUGGUCGUCGGUCAAGAGGGGAAUAGCACGCUCAGCCACAGAGGCCAUAGAAAUGUCUCCGGCAAUCUAUCAUAGGUCGCUUUCAGCCUUUUGGGAGUUUUGAUCGCUAUCUCUCUCCGUCUCACUCUUUUGUAUUUGGCUUUUUCUGUUGUGGACAUGAUUCCCUCUCUCACAUGUAUCAAUGAUCACACUUGGGUGUGCCCACAUUGAGAAAAAUGCUCACGUCUAUGACAACUUCUAGUUCUAUUCGUCUUC